This 196-nucleotide ribosomal RNA is filed under the name uncultured Serratia sp. RNAcentral's name for it is "partial 16S ribosomal RNA". It matches the Rfam family "Bacterial small subunit ribosomal RNA", at positions 337 to 525 of the family's 1533-position model. Lineage: Bacteria; Pseudomonadati; Pseudomonadota; Gammaproteobacteria; Enterobacterales; Yersiniaceae. The record is from RNAcentral.
UCCUACGGGAGGCAGCAGUGGGGAAUAUUGCACAAUGGGCGCAAGCCUGAUGCAGCCAUGCCGCGUGUGUGAAGAAGGCCUUCGGGUUGUAAAGCACUUUCAGCGAGGAGGAAGGUGGUGAGCUUAAUACGCUCAUCAAUUGACGUUACUCGCAGAAGAAGCACCGGCUAACUCCGUGCCAGCAGCCGCGGUAAUA